UCCCAUUUCCUUCCUCUCUGCCGCCGCCACCUCCUCCCCCUUCUCUUCUCCACUGGCCCGAGCGCCUUCCCCCUUCUCUUUGCAACUGCGAGCUUGUCCCCCCGGUCUUCUCUUCUCUCCUUGCUCCAGUCGACCGGCCGCCGCCACCUCCCUCCCGAUCUCCCUCGCCCCCCACUCCUCUCCAUCUCCAGCCAUCUCACCCGCCCCCACUCCUCUCUGUCUCACCCGUGGGCGCGCCUCCUGUCUCACCCGACCACGACGCCACACCGCAAGGGAGCGUCGGGCUCGACCCCGCGCGCGGCCGGAUUCGGCGCCCCCAACCCUGACCGCCUUGGAUCCGGCGUCCCCUACCCCGGUGGCCGCUAGAUCCCCGACCCCGACCAUUGCCGCCGGCGUCUCCGAUCCGGGUAAGUCGCUCUCUGUUCUCUCUCUCCUAUUGAUUCUCCCUCCCUCUCUCCCUCUCUCACUCUCUAUCCCUCACAGGUAGCGCCAUGGAGUCCCGGCCAUGGAGUCAUGGAGUCGCGAGCAGCGCCAUGGAGUCCCAGCCGCCGCCGUUGUGGUGUGGUAUGGUGUCUGCCACCGCCGCCAUGGAGACGAGGGUGCGCCUCCACGUUCGUCCCCGACGUCGACUUUGGCCUG
This 639-nucleotide long non-coding RNA is filed under the name Brachypodium distachyon (stiff brome). RNAcentral describes it as "long non-coding RNA (BDIS_LNC005250)". The record is from RNAcentral. Lineage: Eukaryota; Viridiplantae; Streptophyta; Magnoliopsida; Poales; Poaceae.